Molecule: transfer RNA, 109 nt
Filed under: Xylaria palmicola
Lineage: Eukaryota; Fungi; Ascomycota; Sordariomycetes; Xylariales; Xylariaceae
Description: tRNA-Leu
Rfam family: tRNA
About the family: Transfer RNA (tRNA) molecules are approximately 80 nucleotides in length. Their secondary structure includes four short double-helical elements and three loops (D, anti-codon, and T loops). Further hydrogen bonds mediate the characteristic L-shaped molecular structure. tRNAs have two regions of fundamental functional importance: the anti-codon, which is responsible for specific mRNA codon recognition, and the 3' end, to which the tRNAs corresponding amino acid is attached (by aminoacyl-tRNA synthetases). tRNAs cope with the degeneracy of the genetic code in two manners: having more than one tRNA (with a specific anti-codon) for a particular amino acid; and 'wobble' base-pairing, i.e. permitting non-standard base-pairing at the 3rd anti-codon position.
Source: RNAcentral
GGCAAGAUGGCCGAGUGGUUAUGGCGGAAGUUUCAAGGGAAACCUUACCCGUUCAACGGGCAGCAUGCUUCUAGGGCAACCUGCGUGAGUUCGAAUCUCGCUCUUGUCA